CUACGGGGGGCACCAGCCAGGAAUCUUCUGCAAUGCGCGAAAGCGUGACAGAGCGAGCCAGAGUGCUUUUCCGUAUAGGAAAAGCUUUUGUGGAAUGCAAAAAGUUUCACGAAUAAGGACCGGGAGAGACUGGUGCCAGCCGCCGCGGUAAUACCAGCGGUCCAAGUCGCAGCCACUUUUAUUGGGUCUAAAACAUCCGUAGCUUGCUUAGCAAGUUCCUUGUUAAAUCUGGCCUCUUAAGGGUCGGGCCGCGAGGGAUACUGCUUUGCUUGAGACCGGGAGAUGUAGCGAGUACAUGUAGGGUAGCGGUAAAAUGCGUUGAUCCUAUUUGGACUAACAACAGCGAAGGCACGUUACAAGAACGGAUCUGACAGUGAGGGAUGAAGGCUAGGGGCGCAAAACGGAUUAGAUACCCUUGUAGUC
This 423-nucleotide ribosomal RNA is filed under the name uncultured archaeon. RNAcentral's name for it is "partial 16S ribosomal RNA". It matches the Rfam family "Archaeal small subunit ribosomal RNA", at positions 323 to 746 of the family's 1478-position model. The record is from RNAcentral.